RNAcentral lists this ribosomal RNA (810 nucleotides) under uncultured bacterium. Its description in RNAcentral is "bacterial SSU rRNA". It matches the Rfam family "Bacterial small subunit ribosomal RNA", at positions 8 to 796 of the family's 1533-position model. The record is from RNAcentral.
AGAGUUUGAUCCUGGCUCAGGACGAACGCUGGCGGCAUGCCUAAUACAUGCAAGUCGAGCGGACUUGAUGAGAAGCUUGCUUCUCUGAUGGUUAGCGGCGGACGGGUGGGUAACACGUAGGCAACCUGCCCUCAAGCUUGGGACAACUACCGGAAACGGUAGCUAAUACCGAAUACUUGCUUUCUUCGCCUGAAGGAAGCUGGAAAGACGGAGCAAUCUGUCACUUGAGGAUGGGCCUGCGGCGCAUUAGCUAGUUGGUGAGGUAACGGCUCACCAAGGCGACGAUGCGUAGCCGACCUGAGAGGGUGAUCGGCCACACUGGGACUGAGACACGGUCCAGACUCCUACGGGAGGCAGCAGUGGGGAAUCUUGCGCAAUGGGGGAAACCCUGACGCAGCAACGCCGCGUGGGUGAUGAAGGCCUUCGGGUCGUAAAGCCCUGUCAGGUGGGAAGAAACUUGUCGAUGCGAAUAUCAUCGACACUUGACGGUACCACCGGAGGAAGCACCGGCUAACUCCGUGCCAGCAGCCGCGGUAAUACGGAGGGUGCAAGCGUUGUUCGGAAUUAUUGGGCGUAAAGCGCGUGCAGGCGGUCGGGUAAGUCAGAUGUGAAAGCCUUCCGCUUAACGGAAGAAGUGCAUUUGAAACUGCUCGGCUAGAGUACGGGAGAGGAGAGUGGAAUUCCCGGUGUAGAGGUGAAAUUCGUAGAUAUCGGGAGGAACACCAGUGGCGAAGGCGGCUCUCUGGUCCGAUACUGACGCUGAGACGCGAAAGCGUGGGGAGCAAACAGGAUUAGAUACCCUGGUAGUCC